AUCGAGCGGAUGAGUGGGAGCUUGCUCCAUGAUUCAGCGGCGGACGGGUGAGUAAUGCCUAGGAAUCUGCCUGGUAGUGGGGGACAACGUUUCGAAAGGAACGCUAAUACCGCAUACGUCCUACGGGAGAAAGUGGGGGAUCUUCGGACCUCACGCUAUCAGAUGAGCCUAGGUCGGAUUAGCUAGUUGGUGAGGUAAAGGCUCACCAAGGCGACGAUCCGUAACUGGUCUGAGAGGAUGAUCAGUCACACUGGAACUGAGACACGGUCCAGACUCCUACGGGAGGCAGCAGUGGGGAAUAUUGGACAAUGGGCGAAAGCCUGAUCCAGCCAUGCCGCGUGUGUGAAGAAGGUCUUCGGAUUGUAAAGCACUUUAAGUUGGGAGGAAGGGCAGUAAGUUAAUACCUUGCUGUUUUGACGUUACCAACAGAAUAAGCACCGGCUAACUUCGUGCCAGCAGCCGCGGUAAUACGAAGGGUGCAAGCGUUAAUCGGAAUUACUGGGCGUAAAGCGCGCGUAGGUGGUUCGUUAAGUUGGAUGUGAAAGCCCCGGGCUCAACCUGGGAACUGCAUCCAAAACUGGCGAGCUAGAGUAUGGCAGAGGGUGGUGGAAUUUCCUGUGUAGCGGUGAAAUGCGUAGAUAUAGGAAGGAACACCAGUGGCGAAGGCGACCACCUGGGCUAAUACUGACACUGAGGUGCGAA
RNAcentral lists this ribosomal RNA (702 nucleotides) under Pseudomonas sp. Its description in RNAcentral is "bacterial SSU rRNA". It matches the Rfam family "Bacterial small subunit ribosomal RNA", at positions 61 to 757 of the family's 1533-position model. The record is from RNAcentral. Lineage: Bacteria; Pseudomonadati; Pseudomonadota; Gammaproteobacteria; Pseudomonadales; Pseudomonadaceae.